GCCUAUUUAGUUUAAAUAAAAUAAUGAUUUUGUAAAUCAUAGAAACUAUAAGUAUAGGGCU
This 61-nucleotide transfer RNA is filed under the name Dimorphostylis asiatica. RNAcentral describes it as "tRNA-Thr". The record is from RNAcentral. Lineage: Eukaryota; Metazoa; Arthropoda; Malacostraca; Cumacea; Diastylidae.